UAGGGAAUCUUCCGCAAUGGACGAAAGUCUGACGGAGCAACGCCGCGUGAGCGAAGAAGGCCUUCGGGUCGUAAAGCUCUGUUGUUAGGGAAGAACAAGUACCAGAGUAACUGCUGGUACCUUGACGGUACCUAACCAGAAAGCCACGGCUAACUACGUGCCAGCAGCCGCGGUAAUACGUAGGUGGCAAGCGUUGUCCGGAAUUAUUGGGCGUAAAGCGCGCGCAGGUGGUUUCUUAAGUCUGAUGUGAAAGCCCACGGCUCAACCGUGGAGGGUCAUUGGAAACUGGGGAACUUGAGUGCAGAAGAGGAAAGUGGAAUUCCACGUGUAGCGGUGAAAUGCGUAGAGAUGUGGAGGAACACCAGUGGCGAAGGCGACUUUCUGGUCUGUAACUGACACUGAGGCGCGAAAGCGUGGGGAGCAAACAGGAUUAGAUACCCUGGUAGUCCACGCCGUAAACGAUGAGUGCUAAGUGUUAGAGGGUUUCCGCCCUUUAGUGCUGC
RNAcentral lists this ribosomal RNA (503 nucleotides) under uncultured Bacillota bacterium. RNAcentral describes it as "bacterial SSU rRNA". It matches the Rfam family "Bacterial small subunit ribosomal RNA", at positions 355 to 849 of the family's 1533-position model. The record is from RNAcentral. Lineage: Bacteria; Bacillati; Bacillota.